Phascolarctos cinereus (koala) is the source of this 420-nucleotide non-coding RNA. NCBI's taxonomy places the organism in Eukaryota, Metazoa, Chordata, Mammalia, Diprotodontia, Phascolarctidae. The record is from RefSeq and is a predicted model, not a curated record.
CACAGCAAAGUCACAAAGUGGAACUUACCUGAGUAAAGAUAUGUAAACUUUGUCGCUUUGUUCACUGUUACAUUGGAGUAAGUUCCUAUGAGUCAAAGAUAUAAAACGCUGAAGGCAGGACCAGCGGGAGGGUACUUACUUACUUGAGCUAACGGCUGAAUAAACCAUUUGAAACUACACCUCUCUGUCGACUCCACUCCUUCUCGUUAGACGUUAGACGGGUUUGCCCGAAGACUGCAGUUGCUCAAAGAUGAAUGAUAUGCUGUUCUCAUUUUCCAAGGCCAAAUUAUCUUUGGGCUGUGAUCAAGCAUAAGAAAUUUCCACCCCUGGGAUAAUUCUUUUGAAGAUUACACAAGCAAUGGAAGUUCAUAGGUUUCCCUUGCUUCCUGAAUGGAAUAUAUAUCAACAGGACAGCACCAC